Molecule: ribosomal RNA, 1404 nt
Filed under: uncultured bacterium
Lineage: Bacteria
Description: 16S ribosomal RNA
Rfam family: Bacterial small subunit ribosomal RNA
Source: RNAcentral
UUCGCCCUUAGAGUUUGAUCCUGGCUCAGGACGAACGCUGGCGGCGUGCUUAACACAUGCAAGUCGAACGGAGCACCCCUGAAGGAGUUUUCGGACAACGGAUGGGAAUGCUUAGUGGCGGACUGGUGAGUAACGCGUGAGGAACCUGCCUUCCAGAGGGGGACAACAGUUGGAAACGACUGCUAAUACCGCAUGAUGCGUUGGAGCCGCAUGACUCUGACGUCAAAGAUUUAUCGCUGGAAGAUGGCCUCGCGUCUGAUUAGCUAGUUGGUGAGGUAACGGCCCACCAAGGCGACGAUCAGUAGCCGGACUGAGAGGUUGGCCGGCCACAUUGGGACUGAGAUACGGCCCAGACUCCUACGGGAGGCAGCAGUGGGGAAUAUUGGGCAAUGGACGCAAGUCUGACCCAGCAACGCCGCGUGAAGGAAGAAGGCUUUCGGGUUUGUAAACUUUUUUUAAGGGGGAAGAGCAGAAGACGGUACCCCUUGAAUAAGCCACGGCUAACUACGUGCCAGCAGCCGCGGUAAUACGUAGGUGGCAAGCGUUGUCCGGAUUUACUGGGUGUAAAGGGCGUGCAGCCGGGAAGACAAGUCAGAUGUGAAAUCCCGCGGCUCAACCGCGGAACUGCAUUUGAAACUGUUUUUCUUGAGUAUCGGAGAGGUAAUCGGAAUUCCUAGUGUAGCGGUGAAAUGCGUCGAUAUAAAAAAGAACACCAGUGGCGAAGGCGGAUUACUGGACGACAACUGACGGUGAGGCGCGAAAGCGUGGGGACCUUAAAGGAUUAGAUCCCCUGGUAGUCCACGCUGUAAACCCCUUAAUUGAGGUGUGCGGGGGACUGACCCCCUGCGUGCGGGGAGUUAACACAAUAGGUAUUGCACCCUGGGGAGUACGAUCGCAAGGUUGAAACUCAAAGGAAUUGACGGGGGGCCCGCACAAGCGGUAGAUUAUGUGGUUUAAUUGGAAGCAACGGGAAGAACCUUACCAGGGCUUGACAUCCUGCUAACGAAGUAGAGAUACAUCAGGUGCCCUUCGGGGAAAGCAGAGACAGGUGGUGCAUGGUUGUCGUCAGCUCGUGUCGUGAGAUGUUGGGUUAAGUCCCGCAACGAGCGCAACCCCUAUUGUUAGUUGCUACGCAAGAGCACUCUAGCGAGACUGCCGUUGACAAAACGGAGGAAGGCGGGGACGACGUCAAAUCAUCAUGCCCCUUAUGUCCUGGGCUACACACGUAAUACAAUGGCGGUCAACAGAGGGAUGCAAAGCCGCGAGGCAGAGCGAACCCCCAAAAGCCGUCCCAGUUCGGAUCGCAGGCUGCAACCCGCCUGCGUGAAGUCGGAAUCGCUAGUAAUCGCGGAUCAGCAUGCCGCGGUGAAUACGUUCCCGGGCCUUGUACUCACCGCCCGUCAC